RNAcentral lists this ribosomal RNA (253 nucleotides) under uncultured bacterium. Its description in RNAcentral is "partial 16S ribosomal RNA". It matches the Rfam family "Bacterial small subunit ribosomal RNA", at positions 524 to 776 of the family's 1533-position model. The record is from RNAcentral.
UACGGGGGGGGCAAGCGUUGUUCGGAAUUACUGGGCGUAAAGGGCUCGUAGGUGGCCAACUAAGUCAGACGUGAAAUCCCUCGGCUCAACCGGGGAACUGCGUCUGAUACUGGAUGGCUUGAAUCCGGGAGAGGGAUGCGGAAUUCCAGGUGUAGCGGUGAAAUGCGCAGAGAUCGGGAGGAACACCCGUAGCGAAGGCGGCACUCUGGGCCGGUACUGACGCUGAGGAGCGAAAGCGUGGGGAGCAAACAGG